CCAUACCACCCUGAAUGUGCCCAAUCUCAUCUGAUCUCAGAAGCUAAGCAGGAUCAGACCUGGCUAGUACUUGAGUAUAUUUCGGUGAAGCACCGAAAAAAAAAAGA
Molecule: ribosomal RNA, 107 nt
Filed under: Sorex araneus (European shrew)
Lineage: Eukaryota; Metazoa; Chordata; Mammalia; Eulipotyphla; Soricidae
Source: RNAcentral